UACGUAGGGUGCGAGCGUUAAUCGGAAUUACUGGGCGUAAAGUGUGCGCAGGCGGCCAAGCAAGUCGAGUGUGAAAGCCCCGGGCUUAACUUGGGAAUUGCGCUCGAAACUACUUUGCUGGAGUGUGGCAGAGGAAGGUGGAAUUCCACGUGUAGCGGUGAAAUGCGUAGAGAUGUGGAGGAACACCAAUGGCGAAGGCAGCCUUCUGGGCCAACACUGACGCUCAUGCACGAAAGCGUGGGGAGCAAACAGG
Molecule: ribosomal RNA, 253 nt
Filed under: uncultured bacterium
Lineage: Bacteria
Description: partial 16S ribosomal RNA
Rfam family: Bacterial small subunit ribosomal RNA
Source: RNAcentral